GAUGAACGCUGACAGAAUGCUUAACACAUGCAAGUCUACUUGAACUUCGGUUUGGGUGGCGGACGGGUGAGUAACGCGUAAAGAACUUGCCUCACAGUUAGGGACAACAUUUGGAAACGAAUGCUAAUACCUGAUAUUAUGAUUUUAGGGCAUCCUAGGAUUAUGAAAGCUAUAUGUGCUGUGAGAGAGCUUUGCGUCACAUUAGCUAGUUGGAGAGGUAACGGCUCACCAAGGCGAUGAUGGGUAGCCGGCCUGAGAGGGUGAACGGCCACAAGGGGACUGAGACACGGCCCUUACUCCUACGGGAGGCAGCAGUGGGGAAUAUUGGACAAUGGACCAAAAGUCUGAUCCAGCAAUUCUGUGUGCACGAUGACGUUUUUCGGAAUGUAAAGUGCUUUCAGUUGGGAAGAAAAAAAUGACGGUACCAACAGAAGAAGUGACGGCUAAAUACGUG
RNAcentral lists this ribosomal RNA (454 nucleotides) under uncultured bacterium. Its description in RNAcentral is "partial 16S ribosomal RNA". It matches the Rfam family "Bacterial small subunit ribosomal RNA", at positions 28 to 507 of the family's 1533-position model. The record is from RNAcentral.